RNAcentral lists this RNase P RNA (362 nucleotides) under bacterium. RNAcentral describes it as "RNase P RNA component class A". It matches the Rfam family "Bacterial RNase P class A". Rfam says of the family: Ribonuclease P (RNase P) is a ubiquitous endoribonuclease, found in archaea, bacteria and eukarya as well as chloroplasts and mitochondria. Its best characterised activity is the generation of mature 5'-ends of tRNAs by cleaving the 5'-leader elements of precursor-tRNAs. The record is from RNAcentral.
GGAAGUCGGGGAGACGACCGCGGGUCCCGCGAGGGAUUCGAGGAAAGUCCGGGCUCCGCAGGGCAGGGUGCUGGGUAAUCCCCAGGGGGAGCGAUCCCACGGAAAGUGCCACAGAAAAGAUACCGCCUCGGCCGCAAGGUCGCGGUAAGGGUGAAAAGGCGAGGUAAGAGCUCACCGGGCGCCUGGUGACAGGCGUCGCAUGGCAAACCCCACCCGGAGCAAGACCGCAUAGGGGAGCAGAGGCGGCCCGCCUCGCAUGACUCCCGGGUAGGUCGCUUGAGGCCGGCGGCAACGCCGGACCCAGAUACAUGGUCGUCGCCGCGACGCGGCAACAGAACCCGGCUUACGACCGACUUCCCGUC